This 223-nucleotide ribosomal RNA is filed under the name Pectobacterium carotovorum. Its description in RNAcentral is "partial 16S ribosomal RNA". It matches the Rfam family "Bacterial small subunit ribosomal RNA", at positions 81 to 303 of the family's 1533-position model. RNAcentral also lists the same sequence under 1 other name. Lineage: Bacteria; Pseudomonadati; Pseudomonadota; Gammaproteobacteria; Enterobacterales; Pectobacteriaceae. The record is from RNAcentral.
UUCUCGGGUGGCGAGUGGCGGACGGGUGAGUAAUGUCUGGGGAUCUGCCCGAUAGAGGGGGAUAACCACUGGAAACGGUGGCUAAUACCGCAUAACGUCGCAAGACCAAAGAGGGGGACCUUCGGGCCUCUCACUAUCGGAUGAACCCAGAUGGGAUUAGCUAGUAGGUGGGGUAACGGCUACACCUAGGCGACGGAUCCCUAAGCUGGUUCUGAGAGGAUGA